CAUAUUGUUAUAGCACAUUUUACUGAACUGCUAUCGUAGAUGAUUUAAAUAUUUCUGUAUUAUAUAAUAGCGUUAGAUAAACGCUAUGGUAGAGCGAAACCUAAAAUGGCAUUUAAUUAAUGUUAUUUUGUAAAUUAAGUGAGCGGGAAUAUAAAGUCAUUGAUCCCGCCAAUACUUAGCGGAAAAUUAGAUUUAAGCGCCAAAGAUUUUAUUUAAGCGGAUUGAGUAAUGCUGUCAAAGAUAUAUAAUAGCAUUUUAUAACGCUAAGAAAAGCUAUUUGAACCCCUAAACCCUGAACAUGGUUUUAAACCCUAAACACAAUUUUAAACCCUAAACUCUAAAAACAACCUUUAAAACUCUAUUUUUUUUUCAUAUUAUAACUUCAAAUCUUAAAAUUAAACUCACAAGUUAAUAUUUUUAAUCUUAAACUAUAAUUGUUUGAACACCUAUCUUUAAUCUUUAAUCAACUCUAGCUAUAUAUUAAAUCCUAACUUCAAACAUAAACUAAACAUUCAAUACUCAAAAUAUAAACUUCAAAUCUAAAUUAUUAAAAAUAUAACUACAAAUGUUAUAUCUAGUCUUCAAAUCUAUUAUUUUCCAAUUUUAAUCCAAGAUACUAAACUUUAACCCUAAACCUCAUAUUCCAACAUCCAAACCUUAAAUUGCAAAACUAAAAUUUACUCUUAAUCAUAUUUUUUUAUAAACCAUAAAAUCUAAAUUUAAAGCUUUUCAACAUUUGAAUCAAACAUACAAAUUUAUAAGCAAAUUAUAAAUCAGAUUUCUGUGUAAACAUACAAAUUUUAAAAAUGAUAACCAAAAUCAUAAUCUUGAUAUAAAUCUAAUAUUUUCAAAUUUAAACAUCAAUUCUUAAAAAUAUAUUAGUUUAUUAUGUUCAAAAAAUAAAAGUUUGGACUUAAAUUAUAAAUUUCAAAAUAUAAAUUUUGAAAUAAGAUGUGACUAAGAAAAAUUAUUUACAAAACAAAUUAUCAAAUACUGAAGAAAAAGAAAAAAGAAAAAAAAUUCCUAACCAAUCAAAUUCAGAUACAUAGAUCACACUUCUGAACCGUUGGAUUAACUUAGAUCUAAAGGUAAAGGUCGAUAUUUAUUAUUUUUAAUUUUUAAUUUUAUUUCUCCUCUCUCUCUCUCUCUCCCUUCUCCGCGACGACAGAUCUGAUUCUCCUUCAUCAUUCUCUUCUUCUUCACUCUCUUAUCUAUCAUCUCUCCCAUCUCUCUCCACGCCUCUCUCAUCCUCCCAUCUCUCUCCCACCACGUCUCCUCCUUGUCUCACCACCACCGCUGUCACCCUCCCACCACCACCACGGUGGAGGCAAGGUUCAUGGUAGUUGGAGGAGGUAAGGUCCAUUGUGGUUUGAAGACGCAAGUCUCGUGGCGGCUGGAGGAGGCAAGGCUCAUGGCUGUUGGAAGAGGGGCAAGGCUAUGGAGUCUCUUUUUUGUUAGGUUUAGAAUUUUUUGUUAGGUUUAGAUUUGGUUUAGUGUAAACCAGGAUAGAGAAAUUGUACUGGUUUGAGUUUAUUUUUAAUUUUUUGUUUAGUUUUGUAAAAUAUAAUUAAUUUGUAAGUCAAUUUUAAUUUAUAAAUAAAAUUUAUUUUAUUUCAAUAUAAAA
This is a long non-coding RNA of Brassica napus (rape), 1624 nucleotides long. RefSeq lists it as uncharacterized. Lineage: Eukaryota; Viridiplantae; Streptophyta; Magnoliopsida; Brassicales; Brassicaceae. The record is from RefSeq and is a predicted model, not a curated record. The transcript has 2 exons.